RNAcentral lists this ribosomal RNA (495 nucleotides) under uncultured bacterium. RNAcentral's name for it is "partial 16S ribosomal RNA". It matches the Rfam family "Bacterial small subunit ribosomal RNA", at positions 28 to 507 of the family's 1533-position model. The record is from RNAcentral.
GACGAACGCUGGCGGCGUGCCUAAUACACGCAAGUAGAACGCUGAAGGAGGAGCUUGCUUCUCUGGAUGAGUUGCGAACGGGUGAGUAACGCGUAGGUAACCUGCCUGGUAGCGGGGGAUAACUAUUGGAAACGAUAGCUAAUACCGCAUAAGAGUAGAUGUUGCAUGACAUUUGCUUAAAAGGUGCAAUUGCAUCACUACCAGAUGGACCUGCGUUGUAUUAGCUAGUUGGUGGGGUAACGGCUCACCAAGGCGACGAUACAUAGCCGACCUGAGAGGGGGAUCGGCCACACUGGGACUGAGACACGGCCCAGACUCCUACGGGAGGCAGCAGUAGGGAAUCUUCGGCAAUGGACGGAAGUCUGACCGAGCAACGCCGCGUGAGUGAAGAAGGUUUUCGGAUCGUAAAGCUCUGUUGUAAGAGAAGAACGAGUGUGAGAGUGGAAAGUUCACACUGUGACGGUAUCUUACCAGAAAGGGACGGCUAACUACGUG